CAGAAAUUUACAUCCAAAAUCGUGCAAAGAAAGAUUGAUUCCUUCUGUGUUCUAACUCAAUCACUGAACUUGUAAGAUACAGGGCCAGAACUCAAGUGGAUUUUGACUUUGUUAACGAUGCCUGGAAUCAAGAUCCGUGAUGAAGAUCAAGAAAAAAUCCUAGCGAAGUAUAUUUGUACUUACUGUCAUCACCUUCUCAUAAAUCCAAUGCAGACCUCGUGUGGACAUUUGUUUUGUAAAUCUUGUAUGGACAUAUUCUUGGAAAUCCUGAUCCAAAAUGUCCUGAAGAUAAAGAAAAUUUGACCAAGGAAAACGUAGGUGAAAAUAUUGCAAAGAUUUGACAGAAAAUUCAAUUACAGUCUUGUUGCUAUCGAUCAUUAGCGUAGCCAUCCCGCAAGUUUAGUCCUGCUUUGUAAAUUUUAGUACAUAAUAUUUUCCAUAUUACAGGGUUGUCAGUU
Long non-coding RNA from Xenia sp. Carnegie-2017, 458 nucleotides. RefSeq lists it as uncharacterized. The transcript has 4 exons. The record is from RefSeq and is a predicted model, not a curated record. NCBI's taxonomy places the organism in Eukaryota, Metazoa, Cnidaria, Anthozoa, Malacalcyonacea, Xeniidae.